UGGGGAAUAUUGCACAAUGGGGGAAACCCUGAUGCAGCGACGCCGCGUGAACGAAGAAGGUAUUCGUAUCGUAAAGUUCUGUCCUAUGGGAAGAUAAUGACAGUACCAUAGAAGAAAGCUCCGGCUAAAUACGUGCCAGCAGCCGCGGUAAUACGUAUGGAGCGAGCGUUGUCCGGAAUUAUUGGGCGUAAAGGGUACGCAGGCGGUUUAAUAAGUCGAAUGUUAAAGAUCGGGGCUCAACCCCGUAAAGCAUUGGAAACUGAUAAACUUGAGUAGUGGAGAGGAAAGUGGAAUUCCUAGUGUAGUGGUGAAAUACGUAGAUAUUAGGAGGAAUACCAGUAGCGAAGGCGACUUUCUGGACACAAACUGACGCUGAGGUACGAAAGCGUGGGGGGCAAACAGG
RNAcentral lists this ribosomal RNA (403 nucleotides) under bacterium. Its description in RNAcentral is "partial 16S ribosomal RNA". It matches the Rfam family "Bacterial small subunit ribosomal RNA", at positions 355 to 776 of the family's 1533-position model. The record is from RNAcentral.